AGCUUCCAAUAUAGUUGAAAGGACUAUACAAUAUGACGCCAAAAAGAGGGAAGAUAGAGAUGAAAACUACAGGAGGAAAAACUAGAUCUGUAAGAAAAAUUAACGGAGGUAGAUUAAAAAAAAAAGCCAAUGGAGAAUUUGAAAUGCAGUAGAAAUCUUGGCAGCCCACAUCUUCAGAAACAAAUGCAAACACUGGAAUCUGUGUAAUGAACCAGAAUGAGUACGUGGUCUCGCUCUGUGCCCAAGCUGGAGUGCAGUGGUGUAAUCACACCUCACUGCAGCCUUGACCUCCCAGGCUCAAGCAAUCCUCCCAUCUCAGCCUCCCAAGUAACUAGGACUACAGAGAUGCUCAAGCACUGAAUUGUCUUAAGAAAACAAGUAAGGUUUUGUCACCUAUCCUAUUUCUCACUGCAAGUUGAAAAAAAUCAAAUCCAAACACCACCACCCCUUCUAUGACAACAAACGGCUGUGGAGGUAAUCUUAUUUUCCUAAGGGUAGUUUCAUGAUGACAGUGUCAAAAAAUUACUGUGGAUAAAGAAAAAAUUGUCUCAAUGAAAUAGAAUUUUUCACUGAACACAGAAACCAUCUCAAUAGUUGCUGCUCCCUGGUUUCCAGGCCACGCAACAGACAUCAAACCAGGAAGCCAAACUUUCAUGGACCUGUGUUAAGAAAAACACACAUACAUGGGCAUACUACUUUUUCCAGAAAAACGGAA
Molecule: long non-coding RNA, 715 nt
Filed under: Homo sapiens (human)
Lineage: Eukaryota; Metazoa; Chordata; Mammalia; Primates; Hominidae
Description: CERS6 antisense RNA 1
Source: RNAcentral